AGGACGAACGCUGGCGGCGUGCCUAACACAUGCAAGUCGAACGGGACCAGGGGCAACUCUGGUUCAGUGGCGGACGGGUGCGUAACACGUGAGGAACAUGACCUUCGGCGGGGGAUAGCCGGCCCAACGGCCGGGUAAUACCGCGUACGACCACAUGGGGACAUCCCUGAGUGGUGAAGCAGCAAUGCGCCGAUGGAGUGCCUCGACGGCCUAUCAGCUAGUUGGUGAGGUAACGCUCGACCAGGCAACGGACGGGUA
RNAcentral lists this ribosomal RNA (258 nucleotides) under uncultured soil bacterium. Its description in RNAcentral is "partial 16S ribosomal RNA". It matches the Rfam family "Bacterial small subunit ribosomal RNA", at positions 26 to 285 of the family's 1533-position model. The record is from RNAcentral.